ACGGAAGGCAGCAGUGGGGGAUAUUGCACAAUGGGGGAAACCCUGAUGCAGCGACGCCGCGUGAGUGAUGAAGUAUUUCGGUAUGUAAAGCUCUAUCAGCAGGGAAGAAAAUGACGGUACCUGACUAAGAAGCACCGGCUAAAUACGUGCCAGCAGCCGCGGUAAUACGUAUGGUGCAAGCGUUAUCCGGAUUUACUGGGUGUAAAGGGAGCGUAGACGGUAAUGCAAGUCAGAAGUGAAAGCCCAAGGCUCAACCAUGGGACUGCUUUUGAAACUGUAAUACUAGAGUGCAGGAGAGGUAAGUGGAAUUCCUAGUGUAGCGGUGAAAUGCGUAGAUAUUAGGAGGAACACCAGUGGCGAAGGCGGCUUACUGGACUGUAACUGACGUUGAGGCUCGAAAGCGUGGGGAGCAAACAGGAUUAGAUACCCUGGUA
RNAcentral lists this ribosomal RNA (434 nucleotides) under uncultured Lachnospiraceae bacterium. RNAcentral describes it as "partial 16S ribosomal RNA". It matches the Rfam family "Bacterial small subunit ribosomal RNA", at positions 341 to 792 of the family's 1533-position model. The record is from RNAcentral. Lineage: Bacteria; Bacillati; Bacillota; Clostridia; Lachnospirales; Lachnospiraceae.